GUGUAAAGGGCAGAACACCACCUGACCAUCACCCCUCGUUCUGGAUCGUUCGGCCACUCCCGAGCGACACUUGGCUCAUUUCUCUCUGCCACGUAUGUCUCGAGAACCCUGCUUCUUCCGGUCACUCCACGUCUUGAGGCCCCAGUGAACACCUAACCGAGUCUACCUCGAGCCUCACCAACACCCAGACGGCAGAAAACUCCUGGACGCUCCAAGGACUGGCUUCUUCUCUGCUGCCCUGGUUUCACCCUCUACCUGGUUCCGUCAACGAGUCUGCCUCCAGUGUUGGUGAGAUUAGUGUUCCUUUGGCCCUCACUCGCUCUGGAGGGUGACUCAUGUAUCUUUUCACGUCCCUCCAUCGUGUCACUUUUGGGAGUCUUUCACGUGCCGGAAGGUGACGGGCGAGGGAGGGAGUGCCGGAUCAAAAGAAAAUGUACAGAAAAUGGGAAGGUGCAUACAAGAUUUUUAAGCCUUUCAGUACUGGGACGCUUUCUUGCCUUGAGUUUUGGGUAUAAUUAGACCAUUUAUUGAUAUUAACAAUGGUCUAUGGAGGUCAUAAGAUUCUCAUCCCCUGAUAUGUUUCUGAAGCUGUAUAAAAUCACCAAAUACUAAGCAGAAUGAGUAAGAACACAUGAUGCUGAAAAGAUGAACCCCUUCAAUACUGAGACACAUUUUUAUCACGAAUUUUAGGUAUGAUUAGACGAUUUUUUAUCCUCUUUCUGAAGCUGUAUAAAAUCGCCAAGUAGUAAGCAGAAUGAGUAAGAGAAUGCGUUGUGGUACUGAAAGCGGUCCACUCGGAAAUACAAACAUCUAGACAGGAUAUAAGACACAUCCAGAACAUAUUUGUGUAACCAGGGGGAGAGGAGUAUCAAGAUGCAUUGUUAACUAAAUUUAACAUUUAUUAUUUAGCGACA
This is a long non-coding RNA of Portunus trituberculatus (swimming crab), 914 nucleotides long. RefSeq lists it as uncharacterized. The transcript has 3 exons. Lineage: Eukaryota; Metazoa; Arthropoda; Malacostraca; Decapoda; Portunidae. The record is from RefSeq and is a predicted model, not a curated record.